Molecule: ribosomal RNA, 382 nt
Filed under: uncultured eukaryote
Lineage: Eukaryota
Description: partial 18S ribosomal RNA
Rfam family: Eukaryotic small subunit ribosomal RNA
Source: RNAcentral
UGUAAGCGUAUACCAAAGUUGUUGCAGUUAAAACGCUCGUAGUCGGAACUUGGCCGUUCCGGAUGUGUGCACGUCGUGUGCGCACUUUGAAGGGACGGCUUUUGUGGUCUUGCGUAGGAUGAGGCACUUUUAUUAGUGAACGUCCUCACGCAACCACUCUUUACUGUGAGAAAAUCAGAGUGCUCAAAGCAGGCAUUUGCCGUGAAUGUAUUAGCAUGGAAUAAUAGAAUAGGACUCGGUUCUAUUUUGUUGGUUUGUUGGGACUGAGUAAUGAUUAAGAGGGACAGUUGGGGGCAUUUGUAUUUCGGCGCUAGAGGUGAAAUUCUUAGAUUGCCGAAAGACAAACUGCUGCGAAAGCGUCUGCCAAGGAUGUUUUCAUUGA